Molecule: long non-coding RNA, 761 nt
Filed under: Vitis vinifera (wine grape)
Lineage: Eukaryota; Viridiplantae; Streptophyta; Magnoliopsida; Vitales; Vitaceae
Description: long non-coding RNA (VVIN_LNC004289)
Source: RNAcentral
GGCUUAUGAGACCUCUUCUAACCCUCAAGUCCAUGUCAAUUAAUUACCUGACACAACCCCAGGUCAUCAAUAGGUUGAGGGGAUAGGCGAUUGUACGGUCAAAUAUCAUGGCACGUCAACUAAUGGCACAUGCUAAUAGCCCAAAACGAUGAUGAUCACCCCACUACCUACAAAACAAUCAUCAUUACAAAGAAAGUCAAAAUGUUUAGUUAACACUACAGUAACACUCUCUUCACUAUAAAAACCCUUCAAAAACACAAAUAAGGUACACAGAGAUACGCCGACUCACUCUAUCUCACUAAAGUCGCUUGAACUAUCUUAUACUUGACUUAAGCUUCGGAGGGACGUGCUUGAACCACCUAUCCGAACAUCCUUUGUGUAGGAAUUGGGGUAGAUACUCUGAGAGGCAUGCAAAGGGAAGAAGACUGUCCAAUCUCCAUUGAGCAGGACGAAUCCGACUCCAAUUGGCUCCACAUCAACACAUAGAGCGGGCAUGCUAUGAGCUCCAUAUCAGUUGGGUAAGGAGAUGCAAUCAUAGUAUGGACUUGUUUAUCCAUUAUUACCUAUGAGGCAAUAAUAAUCAAUUUUAAUUUAAUUUAACAAUAACAAUUAAUUAUACAUUGUACUGAAUUAAUUAUACAUUGUGCUCAACUUCACUUAGAGCUGAGCAAGUGAUAAAAUAGAUAGCAUAUUGAAACCUAAAAUGGUAGUACUGUUAUGUAUCAUACUCUACUCCUCAUAAGGCCCUCUUCACUACAGAA